GAACCACUUUUAACGGCCGCGGUAUCCUAACCGUGCAAAGGUAGCAUAAUCACUUGUCCCCCAAAUAGGGACUAGAAUGAAUGGCCAAACGAGGGCCUAACUGUCUCCUAUAGCCCGCCAAUAAACCUGAUCUCCCAGUACAAAAGCUGGAAUGAACACAUUAGACAAGAAGACCCUGUGGAGCUUUAAGCCCCGGUGUUAACACCCCACCAUUAACGCCCGCUUUUAGUUGGGGCGACUACGGAGCAAAACACAACCUCCACGACACAACCCACAUUUGGCCUUGGGCCCACACGUCUCGGGCCAAAAUUUUCGACCCAGUCCAACUGAUCACCGAACCAAGUUACCCCAGGGAUAACAGCGCCAUCCUCCUCAAGAGUUCAUAUCGCCAGGAGGGCUUACGACCUCGAUGUUGGAUCAGGACACCCCGGCGGUGCAGCCGCUGCCAAAGG
RNAcentral lists this ribosomal RNA (452 nucleotides) under Tarentola chazaliae (helmethead gecko). Its description in RNAcentral is "partial 16S ribosomal RNA". It matches the Rfam family "Bacterial large subunit ribosomal RNA", at positions 1915 to 2571 of the family's 2925-position model. The record is from RNAcentral. Lineage: Eukaryota; Metazoa; Chordata; Lepidosauria; Squamata; Phyllodactylidae.